This 87-nucleotide transfer RNA is filed under the name Fluviicola taffensis DSM 16823. It matches the Rfam family "tRNA". From Rfam's summary of the family: Transfer RNA (tRNA) molecules are approximately 80 nucleotides in length. Their secondary structure includes four short double-helical elements and three loops (D, anti-codon, and T loops). Lineage: Bacteria; Pseudomonadati; Bacteroidota; Flavobacteriia; Flavobacteriales; Crocinitomicaceae. The record is from Rfam by way of RNAcentral.
GGAGAAUAGGUAAAUAUUGGUUUGUUACGCUCACCUGCUAAGUGAGUUCACGGCAACGUGAUGAAGGUUCGAUUCCUUUGUUCUCCG